AACGCAUCUUGCGCUCCUUGGUAUUCCGAGGAGCAUGCCUGUUUGAGUGUCAUUAAAUUCUCAAACCAUGACUUUUUGUUGUGGCUUGGAUAGUUGGGUGUUGCCAGCUUUUUUUUAUUGCAGGCUCACCUUAAAUACAUAAGUGGUGCAUUUAGAAACUUGUUAGGUGUUGUAAAUUAUCAAUACAUCUAUGUUUCUCUGAAUAUACUGCUUCUAACAAACCUCAUUUGAUGAUUUUGACCUCAAAUCAGGUAGGACUACCCGCUGAACUUAA
This 274-nucleotide unclassified non-coding RNA is filed under the name Inocybe sp. Its description in RNAcentral is "partial contains 5.8S ribosomal RNA, internal transcribed spacer 2, and large subunit ribosomal RNA". The stretch from base 1 to 52 matches the Rfam family "5.8S ribosomal RNA", at positions 103 to 154 of the family's 154-position model. The record is from RNAcentral. RNAcentral also lists the same sequence under 2 other names. Lineage: Eukaryota; Fungi; Basidiomycota; Agaricomycetes; Agaricales; Inocybaceae.